Molecule: RNA transcript, 5054 nt
Organism: Mus musculus (house mouse)
Lineage: Eukaryota; Metazoa; Chordata; Mammalia; Rodentia; Muridae
Gene: Guf1
Gene name: GUF1 homolog, GTPase
Exons: 17
Source: RefSeq, marked validated
CGCGUCGACGUCAUAAGCGGCGCGACCUGCAGGCGGCGCGUUUGCUUCGCGUCAGGCCUGGGUCUCGGUGUCAGCUCAGGCCGGAGCGCGACCCUGGCUUUGUGGUCUCCGUGGCGGGUUGGGCCCUGAGCCGCCGCCGAGGCAUGUGGGCGCUCGUGGGGCGGGCUCUCGCGCCGUGGGCCGCCGGGGCCCGGCACGCGGCUGCCUCGGAGCCCAGGGCCGCCUGCAGGCUCUUCAGCGCGGCCGAGCUCAAGGAGAAACCUGACAUGUCUAGAUUUCCUGUUGAAGACAUUAGAAAUUUCAGUAUCAUUGCACAUGUGGAUCAUGGCAAAAGCACUUUAGCUGACAGGCUCCUGGAGCUAACAGGAACAAUUGAUAAGACGAAGAAAAACAAGCAGGUUCUUGAUAAAUUACAAGUAGAACGAGAAAGAGGAAUCACUGUGAAGGCGCAGACAGCCUCUCUGUUUUACAGCUUUGGAGGGAAACAGUACCUUUUAAACCUCAUCGACACACCAGGCCACGUUGAUUUUAGUUAUGAAGUGUCCAGGUCACUGUCUGCAUGCCAAGGUGUUUUACUGGUAGUGGAUGCAAAUGAGGGUAUUCAAGCUCAAACUGUGGCCAACUUCUUCCUUGCUUUUGAAGCACAGCUGUCAGUAAUUCCAGUUAUCAAUAAGAUAGAUCUGAAGAAUGCUGACCCUGAAAGGGUGGGAAAGCAGAUUGAAAAAGUAUUUGAUAUCCCUAGUGAGGAGUGUAUUAAGAUUUCUGCGAAACUUGGGACAAACGUUGACAGUGUGCUUCAGGCAGUCAUUGAACGAAUACCUCCUCCAAAAGUCCAUCGUGAAAACCCACUGAAAGCUUUGGUAUUUGACUCCACCUUUGACCAGUACAGAGGGGUGAUAGCCAAUAUAGCACUGUUUGAUGGAGUGGUUUCCAAGGGAGAUAAAAUUGUAUCUGCACAUACUAAAAAAGCAUAUGAAGUCAAUGAAGUAGGCAUUUUGAAUCCUAAUGAACAGCCAACUCAUAAAUUAUAUGCAGGACAGGUGGGCUUUCUGAUUGCUGGGAUGAAAGAUGUCACUGAAGCACAAAUAGGAGACACAUUAUAUUUACAUAAUCAUCCAGUGGAACCCUUGCCUGGGUUUAAAUCAGCGAAACCAAUGGUGUUUGCAGGAGUGUACCCUAUAGACCAAUCUGAGUACAAUAACCUGAAGAGUGCUAUAGAAAAACUGACCUUAAAUGACUCAAGUGUAACAGUGCAUCGGGAUAGUAGUCUGGCCCUGGGUGCUGGCUGGAGGUUGGGGUUUCUUGGACUUUUACAUAUGGAGGUUUUCAACCAGCGAUUAGAGCAAGAAUAUAACGCUUCUGUCAUUUUGACAACCCCAACUGUUCCAUACAAAGCUGUUCUUUCCUCUGCAAAAUUAAUAAAGGAAUAUAAAGAGAAGGAGAUCACAAUCAUCAACCCUGCACAGUUCCCUGAGAAGUCCCAAGUAACAGAAUAUUUGGAACCUGUUGUUUUGGGCACUGUUAUUACACCGACUGAGUACACUGGAAAAAUAAUGGCGCUUUGUCAGGCACGAAGAGCAAUUCAGAAAAAUAUGACUUUUAUUGAUGAAAAUAGAGUUAUGCUUAAAUAUCUCUUCCCUUUGAAUGAAAUUGUGGUAGAUUUUUAUGACUCUUUGAAGUCUCUCUCUUCUGGAUAUGCAAGCUCUUGAAGACAGUUCAGAAUCAUAAGGCUAGGAAGCUUGGGGCAUUACAGAUAUUAAAUAGAACCUGACAUCCUUCUAGGAGAAAAAGGACUUACGGUUUUUCAGACUGUUACUCUCUGAAAAAGAAGCACCCUCAUCAGUAAGAGGCUAUAGCCCUGUGGCUUAAGAGUUGGAAAUAUCUGUGACUAAAUAACAUUUAAAUAUAUAUAUUAAUUGAUCCAUGGGGCAUGUACUUUUAUUUGAAAAAUUGAUAUAAAUAUUGAGUAUGAAGAAUGCUAAAUAUGUUCUGCACUUAACAAUAUUGUAGUCAAGAACAGGUCCUCCCAGAAAUAUGUGCUCCAUCCAAUAAAAAUCUGUGUAUCUUAAGGGAAUCCAUGAAACCUAGCCAAAUAAAAAUAUGAGUUGAGUGUUAAUGGCAAGAAGCCUUUUAUACUGCCUUUGGCUACAGUGGCUUUAUGAGUUAAACGUUUGAGUAGCACUGUUAACUUGGACCACCCUGGUGAUAGCAGCUAACAUGAGUGCUUGUUUGUCUUUGAUGAAGCUUGGCUGUAACUACUCAGCGUGUACUAGAUUCACAUGUGCUACAUGCCUUUCGGUCCUGACCAAAACUAGUGUUCAAACUGCAGAGGUGUGCAGGAAAGCCCAGUGCCCUUUCUUCCUGCUGUUCUCAGUGCACUAGCUACAUGGGUUGUCACUGGCAACAGAAAACUCACAGCGACCUUUAAACUAGAGCUAGUGGACAUCACCGCGGCUGGCAGUGUGAGAAAGGGGCUCGUUUGGUUUUGGUGAUGGAUUUUCCUAAUGCAUCUCAGCCCAGCCGGUUCCGCUUCCUUCUCUCGGGACUUAGAGUCCCUGGACUCAGCGCCUUAGCAUUUGGUUCUUUACUGUGGGCAUACACAUCCUUUAUAUGAAACUUCGUGUGUGGUCAUAAUUUUAUCAAGUUUCUUCAUGGGAGAGCGGGGAAUGGAGGUUGUAAGGAAAAAGGAGUUUGCUGAGUGUAAUCUGACAGUAUCACGCUUGUCCAUGUUCUCUUGUCCUUGUUAGUUUUGAUUAUGAAGAUGCCGGUUACCAGACUGCAGAACUCGUUAAAAUGGAUAUUCUGCUGAAUGGAAAUAUGGUGGAAGAGCUUGUAACUGUGGUCCAUAGAGAGAAAGCCUACACUGUUGGCAAAAGCAUAUGUGAACGCCUGAAGGAGUCUCUUCCCAGACAACUGUAUGAGAUAGCAAUUCAAGCUGCUGUUGGGAGCAAAGUUAUUGCAAGAGAAACAGUGAAAGCCUACAGAAAAAAUGUUUUGGCAAAAUGUUAUGGUGGUGAUAUUACCCGGAAAAUGAAACUUCUGAAGAGACAGUCCGAAGGGAAAAAGAAGCUGAGGAAGAUUGGCAACAUUGAGAUUCCAAAAGACGCUUUCAUAAAAGUCCUGAAAACCCAGCCUAAUAAAUGACUCAAGGGCAGCAGGUGUUCUCUGUUCCUUCUCAUUUAUAGUGACAGCAGAAUGAAAAGUCUGAGAUGCAUAUUACUUCCAGGGUCUUCAACUAUGACCUGCUUCAGUGGUUCUCAACCUUCCCAAUGAUGCCACCCUUUAAUAUAGUUCCUCAUGUUGUGGUGACCCCAGACAUAGAAUUAUUUUUUGUUGCUACUUCAUAACGUUAAUUUUGCUACUUUUAUGGAUCAUGAUGUAAUAUACUAAUGUAAAAUGAGUAUGUCUGAUAUGCGACCUCUGUGAAAGGGUUGUUGGACCCUAGUUGAGAAGUGCUGGCUUGUUGGUAGAGAAGAGGUUAAAUGUAUGCUACAUUGCUUGUUCUCUCUCAUGUUCUACGACUCACUAGUAAUCUCCACAGAACUCCUUACCUAAGACUGAGAUUGUGUUACUACACCGCCUCACAGGUAACUUUGGAAAUUAAAGGAGGUUAAUACAUUUUCAAUAUUCAUGAGGGGCAGGCAGAGUAUGUUAUACAUUUAAUCACAGUGAAUUUUAAACUUCCCUUACACUUUUUGUUUUUUGUUUUUAGUGUCUUGAGACAGAGUUCUGCCAUGUAGCAUGGCUAGCCCAGUGUCUUCAGUAGGGGUUGACACCAGUGAUUGCAGCGACUCUUAGGAAGGAAAGCCUUUAUUUCUCUGGGGCUGGCUUAUUGUUUUAAAGGGUUAUAGUCCAUUAUUGUCAGAGUGAGAAGCAUUAUUGCAGGUAGACAUGGUGCUGGAGAAGUGGCUGGGAGUUUGUACAGGCAGCAGCAGGAGACUGUCACACCAAGCCUAGCUUGAGCAUAGGAGACCUCAAAGCUUGAUUCUAUAGGGACACAGUGCCAUUCCCCCUGAUAGUACCAUUCCCUGUGGGCCAAGCAUUCACACAUGAGUCUUUGGGGACCAUUUCUGCUCAAACCACCACAUACCUCAAGCUUGUGACCAUCUUUCCACCUCAGCCUUCUCAUUGUUGGGAUUUUACAGCCAUUUGCUACUGUCUUCAACUUGGUGCGGGCUUUCUUACAGAUGCUAAAAGGAGCCCUAAUUGCAUCUAGUAGCAACUUUCUGGAAUCACCUUGUAUUACAGUUUUUAGCUCAAAUGCUUGAUCUGAUAUGACUUGCUUUUUAAGAUAUAGACUCAAUGUCUUACUAGACAUUUGUUGUUUUUUUAUGCCUAUACAUUGAAUCAAGCAUUUCUGUAUCUUGUUUUUUAUGAGUACAUUCCUGCAAAAUGCCAUAAUUUGAUAUUAGCAGCAGCUGUUAAUAAAUUAGAAGCUAUUAACUAAACAUACCUAAAUGACACAGCUAAUAAAUGGAUUAGUUUCAUGUUCAUAACAAACUGAAAAAUACAUUACUCCAAGAAAAAGUCUUGAUACUGGAUUUUAUUUUCUGCCGUCUGUCUUGAGCAUGACAUAAAUCUGGUAGGAAAAAAGGUUACAGAUGAGUCUUAGCAUUUUGGUGGGAUUUUAAAGUGAGGAUUUAUAAGUUAGGUAGCCUUAGUUUGUCCUAUUACAUAAACCAUCUCACUUCUCCCAGCUUGAUUUGCUAGGUAUAAAAUAAGUUCCCACUGCAGUAUCUUUUUAAAAUGGCAAUAUAUUUGAAACUAAGACAAUGCAAUUUUUAAAAUGUUGUUCUUAUAUUAUUGGUAAGGGAAAGUUAAAAAACUGGUGUAAUCUCUACCGUGUAGUGCUUGAGCUACUUUAGAUAUGGGCUAUUCUUUAACCCAUAAUUCUUUAGGAAUUAACGUUGUAGUAACAGGAGAAAACAUUUGCUAGGCUGAAUUUUGAGUUAUAUAACUUGAGCUUAUUCCUUCGGGUUCUAGAAUCACAAUUUGUAUAGUCGUAUGACAAAAAAAUAAUUGCCACUUAAUAAAUUUGGUAUGGGUUGCCAGUA